UGCUAUUGCAAUAACAUAAGUAAAGUUAUAGAACAUUUGUUUGGAUGACCUUAAACUCAUAAUGAGUUACAUGAUCUUUUGACAGGAGGAUCAACCGCCUCAUCUGUGUUAUGACAUCUCGGUUCCCGGGAGAAGCCCUGAGACCGAACUCUUCCUCAGCCGAAGCUCUCUCAGGUUUUUUGGAGUACCUGGCGGCUUGGGAGAAGCAUGCAGGUGGAGCUGGAGGGUUCUUGAGCGAGUCAACAGCGACUGGGCUCCGUGUCAGCAUCUCAAGCACACUUGAGCUUCUUUCGUACCUCGCAAGUUUAGGGUUUAGGUACCUUAUGACAUCUCGACUUAGUCAGGACCCUAUUGAGAAUUUGUUCGGAAUCGUCAGACAAGCCUCAGGCUGCAACGACCACCCGACACCCACACAGUUUCUUAUUACAAUGAAUUGCAUGUCCUUUUACAGUUUAGUGAAGACCAUAAGAUACGGGAAUGCGGAUCCAUGUGCAGUAAGUGCCUUGCUUGAUGCGCAAGUGAGCAGCACCAGCUGCCUUCCCAGCAAUUAACAACUUGUGGGAUCAGGUUGAUGCUCUCAUUGGUUCGGGCAAUUUACCUGGUGCCGAAGUGAUGUUGUCUAGAGCAGAUCGUGACCAACACAUAGAGAGAAGUCACUCUUGCAUAAUUUACUAUAUGUCAGGGUAUGUUGCACGAAGGUGCGUAAUGAAAACAGACUGCCAGGCUUGCAUGGAUGGUCUGACGAUUUCAUCUGGACUCCUGAAUUGCUGCAAUCACAAUGCACAAGGACAGAGACGGGCUUCUCUACCCACGUGGUGUACUUUUUUCUUUUAUCAAAAUGCUGGAAGACAUGUUCACCGUAUGCUUCAGCAAGAGGCAACUGCAUGCCGAUAGCAUCUUGGAUGUGCUGAGCCUGGUGAAGACAAAAUGCACAGGCACAACUGGCUGCAGCGAACAUGCAGCUGAGCUCACUAAGAAUGUGAUCAGCUUUUACAUUACAACCCGGCUGCAUUUUUUUACGAAGGGUAUUAAUUGUGAAAAAUAUGAGAAUAGGAAGAGAUUGAUGCACCGAAAGAUCGCUAAGACUUCGUGAGGAGAGCGCCUGGUACUUGUUCAUAUACAAUUUGUGAACCUACGUUUUCUGGUGCCUACAUUCUUUAUUUCGUUGUUAAUAAAUAUUGUUAUUGCACAAAUGUACCUGGUAUUGUCAUCCUUUCGAUUUCAUGUCGUGUUAACUAUAAGAACGAUGUAAUCCAUAAACAACCAACUAACCAACUUAACUUGUGCAGCAGUGAUACCUAAAUAUUAAAUUUCUUGAAUAGACAGGGCAACAUGAAAACGCUUGCUUUACUACAACACACUUCCACGCAGCACGCGCCUUACCUGCGAAAGAAAGAAAAAAACGAAGUGGUGGGUAAAUUCGGCGCGGUGGUGCUGGAAAUGCGGAUGCGCGGUCGUUGUGGCAAAACCAGACUAGCAAUUUUAUUGAUCAGCAGGAGAAAACGAGUGUCCCUUGCUACGGUGACUGCAGCGACCGUAUCAAGCUAUUAACAGAACAGUGUUAAUAGCAAGGUUAGUUCAUUCGUGCUUCCGGCAACAAAACAUCGCCAACCAUCUGUAGAUCAACCGCAACAAUAGUAAUUUAGUUCAGUGCACACUGCAAAGGUGCAGCAAAAGAAGUUUUGUGCAUUUUACUUUUAUUACGGUCAAAACAGCAACGUGCAAUAGCCGCUUUACUGCAACGCGUAGGAAAGUUUCAGGUGACGCUGCGAACCGCGCCACCUGUCAGUGGCGACAUGAAGGGCGUCAAGCUCUGCCACGUUGUGAGCGCACUAUAACUCUUCUACUACACUGUACACAUAGAGUCUAUGUUGGUAAACACAUUCAGAACGUCUAACCCAAGAACUUUUUUAGAUCUUUUUGUCUAAAAGUGCAUAAAAUGCCAGAUGACAUGUUAAAAGUGCGGUUACCGUCCACCGUCGGCGUUAGUGAAUAAAAGAUGCCACAGACAAAUCGAACUCGUUGGAAGCAACAUAAUAAGUUGGCUUUAAUGUUAAAUAAUUUCGCACCAGAACUUCAACAAUCAAGGGCGUGUUAUUGUUUUCCAUACAGGGCAUGCACACGAUGCCUGGAAAUCGUUCUAUGCUCGCACAGGUACUGACAGCCGCAGGAGCGAAACGCCGGUGUUGCAGCGACCACACGGAGUCACAGAGCCACUGCCCUGCGACCACUUCGGCGGCAGUCAAGUAUAGGCAAGCUCCAAAUUUGUCAGACAUCUCAUUCCAUGCUGGAAACACUGGGAGGCAGGAAGUUUGAAAAAAAGCAGUCACUGCCGCCCGCAAUGUCUCGGUCGUGGGUUCGUUAUGCCAGUUGUACGUCAUUCUAAGCCGUUAUAUACAUUUAUACUGGAUAUUAGCUGGAGUCAUUUAGCUGUGCUGAUACUGUUUGCCGUGUGUUUUGCAUCAGUGCUUCGUGCCGUCAACUGUAUUGCGUGUUUUUGCCGACGACUUACUAGCACAAUGGCGGGAUCUGCAUUCGCCGCCUUCAUGUCUCGAUGCGUCUUUGUACGUCGCACGUUUGGGCAACACUUUUUCUGGUAAGUGAAAUACAUUGUACUUCGUUUUUCGUCAACAAUGUGAAUAUUUUUAGAUGUUACCCACGACAAUUCUUGAUGAGUAGGCUCUCUCGCCCUGCGUGUUUUCGUCACCUUUACUUUUAUACGAGGGUUCUGCUUGUGUUCAGCAGUUCAGCACUACCGCGCUCCACGACUUCCGCAACACCAGUCAGAACUUCGCCCUGCUUGUUACUCUUUGUGGUUAACGUAGCACGAACCAACCGAAGGGAGUGCAUUCGAAGAUGGCGCUGGUUGUAAUCCUGAACCAGACUGAACUCGCCCUAUUUUGUGUCCCUUUGUUCUUGCAUGGGUUACAGCGUUGCGAGCGCGCGCACAUGUGUCAGUGACUAUGCAGCGUGUAGCGUUCCCACUUUAUGGCAAAAGAAAAAUAUAACUGCAAUGUUUACUUCAUGUAUACGAUUCCAAAUGCAAUCGUCUGCUGAUGUACAAAUUUCACUUGUUUUGUUAUAAAUAAGCAGCAAAACUUUUAGCCUAGUAGGUGCUUCAUCUGGGAGUGCAAUCACGACUGCUUGGCAUUUAUUAAUGAAUCACUAUGACUGGGUCACCUCAUUUGUAAUUGCAAAUCUGUCUUUCUACCAACUUGAUGCUCUUUUGUUCCUUUCACUCCAUAAACGGCUGGACAUCCUUCUUGUACCUUGGCGCUAGCUGGAUGAUGGGACCUCAUCAUGAUCAGUGUAUUGCUUGUCUAUGUCUACAAGAACCUUCACGCGUAGCCUGUGACGGCAAGCUUUUGUGGGCAGCCAGUGCUCUCCUACGAAGGCUGGCCUGCUCUGGCAGCGGCGGCAAUCAUCUUCAAGAUUUAUCCAUGCUCACCUUUACCCGCCAUGGUUGCUCAGUGGCUAUGGUCUUAGGCUGCUGAGCACGAGGUCGUGAGAUCGAAUCCCAGCAACGGCGGCCAUAUUUCGAUGGGGGCGAAAUGCGAAAACACCCGUGUACUUAGAUUUGGGUGCACCUUAAAGAACCCCAGGUGGUCCAAGUUUCCGGAGUGCUCCACUACGGUGUGCCUCAUAAUCAGAAAGUGGUUUUGGCAUGUGAAACCCCAUAAUUUAAAAUGCUCACCUUUGCUGCUAUUUGUCACUCUUGCUAAUUACACUUUCUGCAUCUUUUCUAAUUUAUUAGGUAAUAAAGUAUGACUAUGUGA
Dermacentor andersoni is the source of this 3776-nucleotide long non-coding RNA. RefSeq lists it as uncharacterized. Lineage: Eukaryota; Metazoa; Arthropoda; Arachnida; Ixodida; Ixodidae. The record is from RefSeq and is a predicted model, not a curated record.